Mesocricetus auratus (golden hamster) is the source of this 2255-nucleotide long non-coding RNA. RefSeq lists it as uncharacterized. The record is from RefSeq and is a predicted model, not a curated record. The transcript has 3 exons. Lineage: Eukaryota; Metazoa; Chordata; Mammalia; Rodentia; Cricetidae.
GUGAAGAAAGCAAUUGGAACCUAACAGAAGACAAACUGUAUGGGACCCUUGGGGACUGGGAGGAGUUAGGCAAAUUUUUUUCUGUCCCUAUUUGAGUAAACUGAUAAAGGCCAGUCUCUUUCAUUGGUCAAACUGGAGUUUAGGAAAUUCAACACAUGUUUUGGAGUUUGCAUGCCAAGCCCUAAAGUCACAUGGAUGAGGAAAGCAGCCUGCCUGCUCUUUUUCAUUGUGGACCCAGGACUAGCAGGAUGGACACGUUGGAGGGGGGGCAUUUUUGAGAGUUCACUGAUGAGGAAGACUGUUAUUCUUUCAGACAUCGGAUUUGGGCCACAGGUUCAUUUACCAGAUUCUAUUUGUGUCACAUCUGGGAACUUGACUCUGGAGUUGGAUUCAGGUUCAGUGAGUGUUGCCGGGGGAAGGUCUCUGAAGAGAGGACACGGGCUGUCCGUAACGGUGUCAUCAAGAGACACAGGACUUUUCACUCUGAACACACUCCUGCCGUGGAGCUCCAUCACAGCCCAGCUGACGUCACUGCCCCCAGGAGGCCCCUGUCCUCCAGUCCUUCAAAGCCUCUUCUCGUCCUCGCCAUGGCGACAUUGCUGACUGAUCCUCAGGCCUGUCCUCAGCUCCCCCAGGCUGCUAAGUUGCCAUCUAUGCCAUGUCGUGGUCAUUAAAAAGAUCUCUAGAACCAGACCAGGAAAGCAGCAGUCCCAGCCUACAGGCAUGGGGUCAUCUGGAUUCUCUGUGUCUCAGUUUCCUUGUUGACAAAGUAGAAACAGUAGUUAGGAUAGGCUGAAGCUGUGGAGCAGUGUCUUAUUUUUAAGUGCGACAUACAUCUCCUUUGUUAUUUCUAAUGUUUUAUUACCGUGUUUUAGGCUGUGCCAUGGAGGAUAUAGUGAAAUGCAGUAGAUGGUACUGGAGACGUGGCCUGCUGUCUGCUUUUCUGAGCAGUUAACACAGGGACAUAGUAUGUUCUCAGUACUCAUGUGCUGGAACAAUGGCUGACAUCCUCUACGGAGUCAUGUUUGUGACUGUGACAUGAUGUCUGUGACUUUAUUCAUGGUAUUUCUCCUCAGUUAACUUCACAUGGCAAGCGAUUCGCUCACUAUACCGUGGUGACCACCACAUGAAUUGUCUUCUGGCUUUAAAAAUACUGAGUCCUUCCUUUCUUCACUGAUCACCAUUCACUGCACACAGACACUUCCCUGAUGAGAGCUGAACUGAUCUGUGGGUUAGAGAUAUGAAUUUAGAGGGUGGUUUGGUGCUGUGUCCAUUAACAGAACAAUGGCAAGAGGGUUGGUCCUGUGAGCUCACAACUGAACGAAGUACAGAGUGUCAGUGGAGUGCUGGGUCACAGAGUGACAUCUGUGUCACCUACACACACCAGGCUCAGGGACCGUAGAGAAGGAGAAAGUGGGAAGAUUGUAAGAGCUGGUGGUUGGAGGGGAGCAGAGCAAAACAGUGUCUCCUGGACAUGGCCGAGCAUAACAAGUGAACUCAACCAGUGGUCUCUGCCACAUUGUUCUUGAUGUUGUUUCCAGAACAGGGUCCAGGCUGGCUUCUGUCUGAAAAGUAGCUUAAAAAUGAAAGAAAGAAAGAAAGGAAGGAACUGAGGAAGGAAGGAAAGAAGGAAGAAAGCACAGAAGGAAAGAGGGAAGGAAGGAGGAAGGGAGGGAAGGAAGAAAAGAAGAAAAGAAAUCCUUUAUCAUCAACCACGUCAUGGGGACCAAACAGUAUAAUUUGGUACAAAAUGAUUUGAGCAAGUGAGCAAAAGCCCUAAAGGAAAGCUGGGUGUGUGGCACUCAGAGGACCCUCCUGGGCCCAGGCUUGUAACUUCCCUCUCUACCCCUCACUGCUCUGCACUGUUUAAGGGGCAAGAGAGCCGUGGAAAGAAACUGCCAUCUUCAUUGUAUUUGUGAUCUCCUAUUUCCCAUUGCAUUCUCAAAGUCAACAACAGUAAAAAUCCCUCUAACGCUGUCAUUUAUUGAUAGUCACGAGGAUCGUCACUAAUCUAACAAAUGAUCACAUUUGACAACAUUUAGAUACUAACUAAAUAUGUGUUUGUGAACACACCUGAGUGUAAGCAGCUAUAGUGACAUAUAAACAAUUUAAAUUACGGAUGGAUCUUCAGGAACAUCAACAUAACCCCUUACCUAUCUCAUAAUAUGAUUUUUUUCAGACCAGUUUUCCAGCUCAUCAAAUGGGCUGAAUAAAAACUAGGGCAACUUCUCUGCAAAGAUGAUGGUCAGCCAUUC